GACGGGGGGGGCAAGCGUUGUUCGGAAUUACUGGGCGUAAAGGGCUCGUAGGUGGCCAACUAAGUCAGACGUGAAAUCCCUCAGCUUAACUGGGGAACUGCGUCUGAUACUGGAUGGCUUGAGUUUGGGAGAGGGAUGCGGAAUUCCAGGUGUAGCGGUGAAAUGCGUAGAUAUCUGGAGGAACACCGGUGGUGAAGGCGGCAUCCUGGACCAACACUGACACUGAUGAGCGAAAGCCAGGGGAGCAAACGGG
Molecule: ribosomal RNA, 253 nt
Filed under: uncultured bacterium
Lineage: Bacteria
Description: partial 16S ribosomal RNA
Rfam family: Bacterial small subunit ribosomal RNA
Source: RNAcentral